RNAcentral lists this long non-coding RNA (1914 nucleotides) under Nicotiana benthamiana. RNAcentral's name for it is "long non-coding RNA (NBEN_LNC040986)". The record is from RNAcentral. Lineage: Eukaryota; Viridiplantae; Streptophyta; Magnoliopsida; Solanales; Solanaceae.
AUAAUGUAUGUUAUCUGGCAACGAAUUUGAACUACGUUCUUCUUCUGCCUCAUUGAGCUUGAAUAUAAUUCAGUGUUUCUACAGGCAAGUAAAGCUGCAAUGAUUAGUUUCUAUGAGACGUUGCGGGUAGAACUUGGGACACAAAUUGGGAUAACAAUAGUCACUCCUGGACUAGUUGAAUCUGAGUUGACCAAAGGCAAAUUUCUCACAACUGAGGGCAAGUCGGAAGUGGACCAAGUAAUGAGAGACGUAAGUUUCUUCUUCUGAAUCAGAUAUCAAGUUUUUAUCAGAGAUUUACCUAUUGCCUUAGCAACAUUGAGUUGAAAAUUCUAAACCUUUAUUAAGCUAUUAGAAAGACAAACAGUUUUAGACGUCAUUAAAUUGUAUUUAUUUUCUCAUUCUUCUCAAAGAAGAUACUAGCAGGUAUUCAUCCCGUUUGUUGCAAUUGUUGUUACCAGGUUGAAAUGAGUGUUACUCCUAUACUGCCAGUGCAAAAAUGUGCUAGAGCAAUUGUCAAGAGUGCAUGCCGUGGAGACAACUACCUAACAGAACCACCAUGGUUCAAGACAUUAUUCGUCUACAGAAUAUUUUUCCCUGAAUUUCUAGAAUGGUUCCAACGAUGGUUUUUGUUUCCAGGGCCAGGGCAACCACCAGCAGAGGCACCCAGCAAGAUAAUUCUAGAUGUGACUGGAUUUAAGGAAUAUGGUUAUCCAAAGUCUGUCCUAUCUCCACAUAUAAAAGUGGAUUGAGAAAACUAAUAGAAAACUCAAGCUAGCUAGAAUGUCAGCAUAGUUCCCAUGCAAACUGGCCAGAAUGUGGUUUUUAUCUUUUCAUUUUGUGGAGUACUGAAGAUGAAAGAAACAAAACAAAAACGAAAACAAGGUUGAAAAAAGAGGCUGACAAUUGAAAUAAUAGAAAUAAGUUUAACUUACUUCAGAUUGUUGAUGAUGAAUAAACUGAUUGCAAUUUAUCCUCUACGUUAGUCUGUACCAAGUCACUUUGUUCGAUAUUUUGUCAAUGCAAAGUCUGGAACGAAGACUGCUUCCACCUUUGUUUGAGAAAUUCGUCGCAAGGCCCAAUCAUUUCCGUUUAGAGCCAUUGAUUGAUUCUUCAUAGCCUUUUGUCAUACAGCUCCACGUGCACAAAAAUGUUUUUUUAAGGUAAUAAACAGUGAAAAUUACCAUGACAAUCAAAAGAUUUACAAACUAAGAGCAUCCAGAUUCUCCAGAAUUCUAAGAUCUCAGAAAGACAAAUCAGUCACCUAUGUGAAUCUAAUUACAAAGCCUGUGAAUCAAAACUUGACAGUUUUUAGCUUUCCUAGAACCUGGACAAUUGCUAAUUCCCCCUCUAAGUUCCUUCUGAAUUGUGUGACAAUGAACUCUCUAUUUACAGUUAAUUUCCUGAACUCCAAUUCUGGAAAUUAAAUGCAAAUAGAGUUCAUAAGCGAGGGAGCACAAGCGAGGAAGAACGGAGAGCGAACAAGGAGAUUUACAAGGUGGCGAGGAAAGAAGCAAAGCUGGCGGUUACGGAAGCUAAAAACGCGGCGUUUGGUCGCAUGUACGAUGAAUUAGAAGAGAAAGGCGGGGACAGGAAGUUAUGCAGGUUAGCUAAAGCAAGGGAAAGGAAGGCGCGUGAUCUUGACCAAGUUAGGUACAUCAAGGGCGAGGAUGAUAGAGUUCUUAUGGGGGAGUCUCAAGUCAAGCAGAGGUGGCAGGCGUACUUUCGAGACUAACUUAACGAGGAGGGGGAUCGUAACAUAGAGCUAGGGAAGUUGGGGCAUUCAGAGCAAUAUAGAGACCUUGGGUACUGCAGGCGCAUUAGGCGGAAGAGGUCAUGGGGGCUUUACGUAGUAUGAGUAGGGGUCGAGCGACCGGGCCUGACGAGAUCCCAGUGGAGUUCUGGAAAUGCAUGGGU